UACGUAGGGGGCAAGCGUUGUCCGGAAUCAUUGGGCGUAAAGAGCGCGUAGGCGGUCCGGUAAGUCCGCUCUGAAAGUCCGGGGCUCAACCCCGGGAGGCGGGCGGAUACUGUCGGGCUAGAGUCCGGAAGAGGCGAGUGGAAUUCCUGGUGUAGCGGUGAAAUGCGCAGAUAUCAGGAGGAACACCGAUUGCGAAGGCAGCUCGCUGGAACGUUACUGACGCUGAGACGCGAAAGCGUGGGGAGCAAACAGG
Molecule: ribosomal RNA, 253 nt
Filed under: uncultured bacterium
Lineage: Bacteria
Description: partial 16S ribosomal RNA
Rfam family: Bacterial small subunit ribosomal RNA
Source: RNAcentral